AGUGAUGAUAGAGGCGCGAACGUCAAUAGUAAGCAUUCGGAGAUUUGCAGAAUCUGAGAUGGAUGGUGAAAGGGGCGAUCGCCGAAGUGUGCGUUAAACUGCUUUUACGCAUGCUGGUUUUGCAUUUAAUAAGUGCAGGGCUGUCAGAGUGAAUCUCUGGAGGGCUAUCUCACAU
This 175-nucleotide non-coding RNA is filed under the name Planococcus sp. PAMC 21323. Its description in RNAcentral is "Lysine riboswitch aptamer". It matches the Rfam family "Lysine riboswitch aptamer". Rfam says of the family: Riboswitches are metabolite binding domains within certain messenger RNAs that serve as precision sensors for their corresponding targets. Allosteric rearrangement of mRNA structure is mediated by ligand binding, and this results in modulation of gene expression. This family includes riboswitches that sense lysine in a number of genes involved in lysine metabolism, including lysC. RNAcentral also lists the same sequence under 1 other name. Lineage: Bacteria; Bacillati; Bacillota; Bacilli; Caryophanales; Caryophanaceae. The record is from Rfam by way of RNAcentral.